Molecule: ribosomal RNA, 259 nt
Filed under: uncultured bacterium
Lineage: Bacteria
Description: partial 16S ribosomal RNA
Rfam family: Bacterial small subunit ribosomal RNA
Source: RNAcentral
UAGCGUAGGGUGCAAGCGUUUGUCCGGAAUUAUUGGGCGUAAAGAGCUCGUAGGCGGCUUGUCGACGUCGGCGUGUCGAAAACCUGGGGCUCAACCCCGGGCCUGCAGCCGAUACGGGCAAGCUAGAAUUCGGUAGGGGAGACUGGAAUUCCUGGUGUAGCGGUGAAAUGCGCAGAUAUCAGGAGGAACACCGGUGGCGAAGGCGGGUCUCUGGGACCGAUAUUGACGCUGAGGAGCGAAAGCGUGGGGAGCGAACAGG